RNAcentral lists this ribosomal RNA (386 nucleotides) under Bacillus sp. (in: firmicutes). RNAcentral's name for it is "bacterial SSU rRNA". It matches the Rfam family "Bacterial small subunit ribosomal RNA", at positions 960 to 1345 of the family's 1533-position model. Lineage: Bacteria; Bacillati; Bacillota; Bacilli; Caryophanales; Bacillaceae. The record is from RNAcentral.
CGCGAAGAACCUUACCAGGUCUUGACAUCUCCUGACAACCCUAGAGAUAGGGCGUUCCCCUUCGGGGGACAGGAUGACAGGUGGUGCAUGGUUGUCGUCAGCUCGUGUCGUGAGAUGUUGGGUUAAGUCCCGCAACGAGCGCAACCCUUGAUCUUAGUUGCCAGCAUUCAGUUGGGCACUCUAAGGUGACUGCCGGUGACAAACCGGAGGAAGGUGGGGAUGACGUCAAAUCAUCAUGCCCCUUAUGACCUGGGCUACACACGUGCUACAAUGGAUGGUACAAAGGGCUGCGAGACCGCGAGGUUAAGCGAAUCCCAUAAAACCAUUCUCAGUUCGGAUUGCAGGCUGCAACUCGCCUGCAUGAAGCCGGAAUCGCUAGUAAUCGC